UCUCCGUAGGUGAACCUGCGGAAGGAUCAUUACUGUAUAACCGAGGUGCGAGGGCUGUUGCUGACCCGAACGGUUGCGCACGCCCGAGUGCCCUCACACAAAUCCAUCUCACCCCUAGCUGCACCACCGCGGGGGUCCCGCUUCCGCUUGUGCGGGGGGGGGCCUACGGUUUCACACAACCUUUUUUUUCAGUGUAGUCUGUGUUUAUUGUUUUUUCGAUCACGCAAUUCAAACACCUUUCAAUAACGGCUCUCUUGGCUCUCGCACCGAGGAAAAAGG
This 279-nucleotide unclassified non-coding RNA is filed under the name plant metagenome. RNAcentral's name for it is "partial contains small subunit ribosomal RNA, internal transcribed spacer 1, and 5.8S ribosomal RNA". The record is from RNAcentral.